UAGAUUGAUGUAAUUCCGUCAGAGUUUGA
RNAcentral lists this small RNA (29 nucleotides) under Bombyx mori (domestic silkworm). RNAcentral's name for it is "ovarian small RNA-6315". Lineage: Eukaryota; Metazoa; Arthropoda; Insecta; Lepidoptera; Bombycidae. The record is from RNAcentral.